GGUCUUGUGGUCUAGUGGUAUGAUUCUCGCUUAGGGUCCACCCUAAAGCAAUUGUGUGCGAGAGGCCCCGCGUUCGAGUCGCGGCAAGACCC
This is a non-coding RNA of Onygenales sp. PD_40, 92 nucleotides long. Lineage: Eukaryota; Fungi; Ascomycota; Eurotiomycetes; Onygenales. The record is from the annotation of a GenBank genome assembly.